UACGUAGGGGGCAAGCGUUGUCCGGAAUUAUUGGGCGUAAAGAGCUCGUAGGCGGUCUGUCGCGUCUGCUGUGAAAACUCAGGGCUUAACCCUGAGCUUGCAGUGGGUACGGGCAGACUAGAGUGCGGUAGGGGAGACUGGAAUUCCUGGUGUAGCGGUGAAAUGCGCAGAUAUCAGGAGGAACACCGGUGGCGAAGGCAGGUCUCUGGGCAUUAACUGACGCUGAGGAGCGAAAGCAUGGGGAGCGAACAGG
This 253-nucleotide ribosomal RNA is filed under the name uncultured bacterium. RNAcentral's name for it is "partial 16S ribosomal RNA". It matches the Rfam family "Bacterial small subunit ribosomal RNA", at positions 524 to 776 of the family's 1533-position model. The record is from RNAcentral.